GUAGGGGGCAAGCGUUGUCCGGAAUCAUUGGGCGUAAAGCGCGUGUAGGCGGUUCGGUAAGUCGGCUGUGAAAGUCCAGGGCUCAACCCUGGGAUGCCGGUCGAUACUGCCGGACUAGAGUUCGGAAGAGGCGAGUGGAAUUCCCGGUGUAGCGGUGAAAUGCGCAGAUAUCGGGAGGAACACCAAUGGCGAAGGCAGCUCGCUGGGACGUUACUGACGCUGAGACGCGAAAGCGUGGGGAGCAAACAGG
RNAcentral lists this ribosomal RNA (250 nucleotides) under uncultured bacterium. RNAcentral's name for it is "partial 16S ribosomal RNA". It matches the Rfam family "Bacterial small subunit ribosomal RNA", at positions 527 to 776 of the family's 1533-position model. The record is from RNAcentral.